GUAGUCUCGCACAGAUGCAUAUCAAUAAGCGGAGGAAAAGAAACUAACAAGGAUUCCCCUAGUAACGGCGAGUGUAGCGGGAAGAGCUCAAAUUUGAAAUCUUAAAGGGUUUCCCUUUACGAAUUGUAGUUUAAAGAAGUGUUUUCUGUUGAGGUUUUGGUAAAAGUUCUUUGGAAUAGGACAUCAUAGAGGGUGAGAAUCCCGUAUUUGACCUUUACUUUCAACUUUGUGAUACACUUUCAAAGAGUCGGAUUGUUCGGGAAUGCAGUCCAAAAUGGGUGGUAAAUUUCAUACUAAAGCUAAAUAUUGGCGAGAGACCGAUAGCGAACAAGUACCGUGAGGGAAAGAUGAAAAGAACUUUGAAAAGAGAGUUAAACAGUACGUGAAAUUGUCAAAAGGGAAGCGUUUGACACCAGUGUUGUUUUUCUGAAAAUCAAUUAAAGAACUGUUUAUGCUAAGCUGUUUAGACUUUAUCAGCUAAUCUGUUUAGUUUUGAGCUUUUCUUUAAUGCACUUUUCAGUUAACAAGUCAACAUCAAUUUCUUUUGCUGUAAAAAAGCUUGAGGAAGGUGGCUUGAGAUUCGUCUUAAGUGUUUAUAGCCUCUUGCCUAUGCAGUCGGAGAGAUUGAGGUCUGCAGCGUAGAUCCUUCGGGGCUAAAUGCAUUUGUGCUAAGUUAUAGCAUUUUAUAGACAACUUGUUGACUAUGAUUUGUCUUGUAGCUUACUCGCUUAUGUUAUUUUACCUACGCUUAGGAUGUUGACGCAUGAGAUAUACGC
RNAcentral lists this ribosomal RNA (776 nucleotides) under uncultured Neocallimastigales. Its description in RNAcentral is "partial large subunit ribosomal RNA". It matches the Rfam family "Eukaryotic large subunit ribosomal RNA", at positions 24 to 647 of the family's 3401-position model. The record is from RNAcentral. Lineage: Eukaryota; Fungi; Neocallimastigomycota; Neocallimastigomycetes; Neocallimastigales.